Molecule: ribosomal RNA, 481 nt
Filed under: uncultured Desulfocapsa sp.
Lineage: Bacteria; Pseudomonadati; Thermodesulfobacteriota; Desulfobulbia; Desulfobulbales; Desulfocapsaceae
Description: bacterial SSU rRNA
Rfam family: Bacterial small subunit ribosomal RNA
Source: RNAcentral
AAACUUAAAGGAAUUGACGGGGCCGCACAAGCGGUGGAGCAUGUGGUUAAUUCGAAGCAACGCGAAGAACCUUACCAGGUCUUGACAUCCCGAUGCUAUUUCUAGAGAUAGAAAGUUACUUCGGUACAUCGGUGACAGGUGGUGCAUGGUUGUCGUCAGCUCGUGUCGUGAGAUGUUGGGUUAAGUCCCGCAACGAGCGCAACCCCUAUCUUUAGUUGCCAUCAUUGAGUUGGGCACUCUAAAGAGACUGCCGGUGUCAAACCGGAGGAAGGUGGGGAUGACGUCAAGUCCUCAUGGCCUUUAUGACCAGGGCUACACACGUACUACAAUGGCCGGUACAAAGGGCAGCGACACAGCGAUGUGAAGCGAAUCCCGAAAAGCCGGUCUCAGUCCGGAUUGGAGUCUGCAACUCGACUCCAUGAAGUUGGAAUCGCUAGUAAUCGCGGAUCAGCACGCCGCGGUGAAUACGUUCCCGGGCCUU